AUGAGGCUUUCGCUUUCUAUCUUCACCAUGGUUUGGAGACCGGGUUAUAGGAUCGCCCUUGCACUACAAAAAAAAGACACAUCCGUGACAUUUUGGGCCAAACGAAUUUUUUUCUGUCAUACAUAUGACACUUCUAUGACGAUAAUUGUGACAAAACCCGGUAUCAUCAUUGAUGUGGUGGGCUCCUACUUCUAUGACAAAAAAUCAUGA
This 210-nucleotide ribosomal RNA is filed under the name Triticum aestivum (bread wheat). RNAcentral's name for it is "partial small subunit ribosomal RNA". Lineage: Eukaryota; Viridiplantae; Streptophyta; Magnoliopsida; Poales; Poaceae. The record is from RNAcentral.